UGAUAAAAGAAAAAAAAAAACACUUUGAAAAUAAAAACAAUCAACUAACUAGCAAGAAAAAAUUAACAUCAUCUUUAAAUAUACUGCAUUCUUUGUUUAUGGUUUUCUAAGUUUCACUUUCACUAAACAUAGUUUUGAAUGUGCUGCAAGUGUUUUCGUUUUCGCUUUCCAAGUUUUCGUUUGCGCUUCGCAAAUUUACGUUCUCUAUUUUGACACAAACCUCUCGUGAGGGGCGGGCUUAACAGCGGUUCGCUCUUAUUGGCUUGUGAGAUUUUGAUUGACAGCUCAUUGAACCAGAACCCCGGAACAGAAGGUGGCGAUAGUGCACAAAUAAGCUGGAUGCCAACCGCUGUUAAAAAUAACAAGAAGACGAUCGGACUCUGGAGCUGCAAGAAGUCUAAACAAACGGUAAUAAGAGUAUAUUAAAGAACAUUAAUGACAAAACACGGAUAUUUUACACAUCAGCAGAAGAAUAACAAUAGUUCAAGAUGAGUAAUCGGGAGGCUCACGGUCCGGAGCAUCAACACCAUCCUCCUCGGCCGGACAAUUGAGGCAGCAUGAGAAUUGAGCCUCUAUGGUGUGAUGUUUGGUCAGCCGUCUCUUGUACUAUGAAGAACUGCAAUGGAAGAAGUGACAGUGCUUGAUUCGGCAGGUGAACUGCACCUAUUUUAUGGUGGAACAACUUUUUAAGAGGACAUUGUUGACAUUGUCACAGAGGAUGAUGGUGUGGUCAUGGUGCCAGAGAUCUAUUGUCCUUUGUCUGACCAAAAGCCUUUGAUAUCACAAUUGAAUGUCCAGGAGUUAUACCAACACACAGUCGAUGUCAUCCAAAGACUGUGCUCCAUUUAAAUUGUAAAAGUCAUUUUUAUGUUUGAAAGAUGAAGUUGGUUCACAGAUGUACUUUUCCUUUAAAACAAUUUCCCAUUUGUAAUCACAAUGGAGACACAUCUCUGACUGCUGGGCUUCCCCUCUUAUUGUGUUCAGAUUCAUACUGUAUGCAUCUGCAGGGUUAUUCAUGCCAACACUUUAUACCGUUGUGCUGGUAAUUUAUCUUUAUAUAUCAUGCCUUCUCACUGCGUCUGUCAGCCUGUGCUUUACAUAUCUGAGAGUCAACGCAGCUAAACAUGAAGGACAAAUGCAAUGCAAGACGUUAUGCAUGCUAUAUAUCGGCAUAUGGAUGAUUAGAUUAGAAACUGCUUUCCGUUGGUGUGUUUAAACAUCACAUGACAUAGAAAAUUUACUGUCUUCCAUUUUCUGUUGUGUAGUAAUUCAUAGGAAAAUCACUUUAAACCAUUCAACCAUUUAUUUUGAGAAUAAACUUUUUUGUAACAAAAAUAUUUAAGACUUUUUAAACCAUUUAGUAGCAUGUACAAUCACAAGUGUUUUUUG
Molecule: non-coding RNA, 1389 nt
Organism: Misgurnus anguillicaudatus (oriental weatherfish)
Lineage: Eukaryota; Metazoa; Chordata; Actinopteri; Cypriniformes; Cobitidae
Source: RefSeq, a predicted model, not a curated record